Erinaceus europaeus (western European hedgehog) is the source of this 641-nucleotide long non-coding RNA. RefSeq lists it as uncharacterized. The record is from RefSeq and is a predicted model, not a curated record. NCBI's taxonomy places the organism in Eukaryota, Metazoa, Chordata, Mammalia, Eulipotyphla, Erinaceidae. The transcript has 3 exons.
UAAUCUGCAAUUUUUUUCAUCAGCUAUAAAGACAGAGGCUAUAUAGCCGAAAUUUUCAGUCCUAUUCUGCAAGCGCAGAGCUGCAAAAAGCCUGCGGUGCUUGGAGGCGCCUGGUCGGGGCCCCUCUCUCCACUCUUUACUCUCGGGAUAGGAUGAUGGGGCUGGGAAUUGUUUUUUGCUUUUCUGGGUUUGUUUUGAUCUGACUUGGUUGGGUUUUGUAUUUUCUAUUUUCCUUUUUUCCCCCUUUUCCCUUUUUUACUUCUUUCUUUUCUUUUUUUUUCUUUUUCUUUCUUUUUUUUUUUUUAACCUAUUCUCUCCUGUCAUUCUCCCAGCCAAAAGCCGCCUUCGACCCUUUUGAUUUGAUGUAGCAAAGAGUGUGUCCAGAUUAUCUGAAAUUGACACUGAAGAAGGGGGGUAUUGUGUGCUCGGCGCUUGGAGUUACCCAGAGACCCAGCCAGUGACAGGGGAAGCUCUCGGAUUUAUCUUUUGCUGGAGAGCUGCGAGUUUGACACACGUACCUGGAUCCUCCAGGCGGCUUUGGGCGAGACUGGCGCUACCGGGGUAGGACUGCACCGAACUGAUGUAGGGGCUGGACGCGUGGCUGCUGACCGAGUUGACGUAGGGGUAGCCCAGCGGUCUGG